CUGCAGCCAGUUAAGCUAAUCAGGUUCUUUUUCUCAGGGGGGCCUGGUGUUCAAUGGCUGCAGGCAGCAGACCCUUGGGAAUGCAUGCAGCCUGUUGCUUGUAUGAGUUCCCCUCAAUAACCCUGAAGAACAUUU
Rattus norvegicus (Norway rat) is the source of this 135-nucleotide small nucleolar RNA. Ensembl annotates it as small nucleolar RNA SNORA70. Lineage: Eukaryota; Metazoa; Chordata; Mammalia; Rodentia; Muridae. The record is from Ensembl.